RNAcentral lists this long non-coding RNA (19236 nucleotides) under Oryza sativa (Asian cultivated rice). RNAcentral's name for it is "long non-coding RNA (OSAT_LNC000798)". Lineage: Eukaryota; Viridiplantae; Streptophyta; Magnoliopsida; Poales; Poaceae. The record is from RNAcentral.
AUAAAAUUCUAUGCAGCGGAAAAUAAAACAAACUACGGAACAGCUAUGGCGACUCCACUCCACAGGCAACUUAACCCGGAACAAGCCUAGUCCUCCAGAUCAUCACCUUCACUGAAAUACUCCUCCUCUGAUGAAUGAAUAUUGCAAGAAUGAGCAUAUGACAUACUCAACAAGUCACACAGCAAAUAUGUAAGUGCAGAGGAUAACAAAGGAUAGCAUAGUAAAGCUCAUUUGCAUAAACAGCAUUUAAUAAAUAUUUAAGAGAAUAGUAAAACAGUUGAAUAAUUAAGCAGUAUUAAAUAACCACUACACAACACACCCGUGUUGCAUAGGCCCUACCUCAUCUGAACAACCAACCCCGGUUGUACAAAUCAAGCCUCCAUACCAGGAAUAUGCCAUUCCAAACCAAGAGUCAAAUUAAUUAACACAAUUAUCAUUAAUGAGUAGUGUGAGACUAAUCACGAAAAACAUUGUUAAACUCACCCAUAACCGCGGGCACGGCUAUUCGAAUAGUUUUACUCUGAUCAGAGAUGCACCACUGUACCCACAAGACACAACUCCACCACAAGUCACCAUGUACCUCAGUAUCACCACGGUACCUUGGAAAGGAACUGUGACAAUACCCCUCGCACAACACAACUCACCACAAUGCACCGUUCCUGGAUCAUAAUCUCCCCCUCAAAACCAGAGGCAAUGGACACCCCAGCGACCCCCACGGACUUCUCCCUGCUUCACAGUCUGGCACACCAUAAUGAAUCACGCUAUACAAAAGAUAAAGCCGUUGCCCACGCUGGCUUGUGGUUGGCACGGUAAAUGUUUCACAACAGUAGCUCGCGAACCGGUCCUUAAUUGUCAUGAGCACAACCAUCAAAAACAUAUGCUCACAACCCACCUUUAAUCAGGUUUUAAUUAUCAAUUAAUUAACAUAACACGAUUAACCAUCGUGAGCUACCAUUAAAUAUAACCAUAAUUAAUAAUGUAGUAUGAUUUAUGAUUUAUCCCAUUAAUUAGCUAAUGUUUCUAAGCGUGGCUAAGCAAUUAUACAUAUAGCAUUUAGCCGAACCAAUCCAAUAUAUAAGGUCCAAGCUAAUCAAAUUAUAACACAUAGGAAAAUAAAGUAAUCUUCGGCCAUUAAUUAAUUGGGAAAGGUUCACCGCCCGAUGACAUUCAAAAAUAAUGCAUAAGUUGAAAUAAAACAUUAGCUUUAAAUGGGUUCAACAUGCUCAAAGGGUUGUUUGGGAUCUGUGUGACUUGCCUUGAGCUUCCGCAAACACUUCCGAACCUUCCUCAACGAAAGCGCUCUCCUCGGGAACGUCAGAAACUAAGGCAAAUAGACAAAAUCAACAAAACAGUACAAAAACAAGCAUAAACAGUACAUGUGGAUAUUUUUAACAUGUAGAUCUCGAUUUUAGAAAAAUUUAGCAACUUGAACCACUCGAAUCGGAGUUACGAUGAUUUAGUUAUGAAUUUGCGAAGUUUUAAUUGAUUUUCAUCUAAUAAAGAAAACGUAGAAAAAGGAAAUAUGACGUCAUGAUGACGUCAUCAUCGCCGGCCAUAACACGGGCGGCACAACCACCAGCGCUAGGGGGCUCGGCCGGGCUAUCGGAGGGCACCUACGCGUAGAGAACGACGACGCGAACUCACCGGUACUAGCAAACACGACGGACGACGACGAACGGCGGCCGGCGGCAAGCUCUAACGGCGGCGCGGCUCAUGUCAGCAGCGGCGACGGCGUUCCUUCGACAGGCGACGGCGUCGAAGGGGCGGCCGGGGUUCUCCACCUCCAUGCGCACCUAACGGCGGUGACGGGAAGCGGCGGCGACGGCGCUAGCGACGGCGCGGUGCGGCUGGACGACGGCCGGCGGCAGCGGUGGCUAGGGCGGCGUGGCGGCGGCGAUACGGACGACGAGGGAGCUCGGGAGUAGGGGCAAAUGAAAGAGGACGCAAUUAGCUCUAGAUUGGAGAGAUCGGACUCCAACCGCGAGAAAUCAAGCCGGGAAAAACUAGGGUUAGGUGGAGAGAUAAACUCGAAAACGAGUUUGAUUCGGAUAAAAUACGAAGCAAUUAGCUCCGAUUUUUGGGGGAAAAGAUAGAGGAAAACAAAGGGAUAAAAACGCCUCAACCAAUCGGACACGGGGGCGACCGGUUGAGGCGAAAUCGGCGGAGGAAGGCGGCGGCUCGGGCAUGGGCUCGGCCGGCCGGAGGUUGAAGACAACCCCGACAUGUGGGCCCCACAUGUCGGCGGCUGUGAGUAGGGGGAGGCCGGCGGCUCAUCUGGGACGGCGUGGGCCGCUCGGCUCACGCGAGGAGAGAGGGAUGUUGGGCCGAAUUCGGCCCAACGGCUUAGAGGAGGGUUUUUAAAACUUUUUCAAUUAAAAUAAUUCAUGAAAUGAUGUUUCAUUUAUUAAAAAUACUUCUCUUGCUCAAAUAAUUCCCUAAAAAAUCUAGAAAAUAGAGGAACAAGCAAAGUAUUUAAUGAAAUUUUAUCUAGCUCAAUUUUAUGUUGAAAAUUUUCCUAGAUUAUUAGAGUUUAACUUGUAGGCUUUUAAAAAAUUUUCUAGAAAUGAUUUAAAAUAUGGAUUAUUAAUUUAGGUGAUUUUCAGGGCAUGACACAGCCCCUUCCCCAACCUCCAGCCGCUCCCCGAGCCGGCGACCGCCGCACCGCGCGCGUGCCGCCCACCUUCUCCGCCUUCCCCGCGCCCCCCUCCCGCACGCCCCGUCUUCUCCGCGCCCACGCCCCCACUCCCGCUCGCGCCCACGUCACGAGAUGGCCGGGAUUCAAAUUCGAAUCCCGCCUCUCUCUCUCCCCACCUCCAACUUCCCCCACUAACUCCGGCGAAAUCGAGCCACUCCCGGCCGUUCCUGACCUCUCCGCCCCUAUAUAAUUCAUCCCCACAUCCUCCUCCUCAUUUUCCCUUUUUCCGCUGGCCUCUCCCGAGCUCUCCACCGCUCCUGCAUCGUGCCCCCAUCCGCCACCAUCUCUUCCAUUGCUCCGGCCGCCUUUAGCUGCCACUAGGGUUGCCGCCGCACCGCGCCGUCGUCGCCGUCGGGUUCGCGUGGCCGAGGUCCACCUCGUCCACCCCUCCUCCGUCGAAUUCCGCCAUCGGAGGCCGCCGUCCACCAUGCGCCGGUGAGCCUUUCCAUAGCAGCAGCCGUCGGCCACGGUUCCCGCUCGCCGUGGACUCCCUCUCCCCCUCUAACCUCUCUCUUUUUCUCUCUUAGGGUGUCUCAGAGCCCGUCUGCCGUUCGCCGUCAUUCCUCGGCCGUCGCCGUCGCCGUUCGCCGUUGUCUUCCUCCGCGCCGGCCAACUCACGGUGAGGCGCCCCUCCUCCUCUUUUCCCCUCCCUCUCCCUCCUAGCGCCGAGCCGGGCCGAGCCGACGCUUCGGCCGUGCACCGCCGCCUUCGCGCGCCGCCCUUGCAUGGCAGGCCGGCUGGCUUGAUGCCGAGCCCGGCCGGCGCCUCGCCACUCCCCUUGGGCCGGUGCCGAGUGGGGCCCGCCUAUCAGUGCCCCCUCCUUUCCCCCUUGUGUCACCGACUAAUGGGGCCCGCAUGUCGGCGCCGCCCCCCUCCUUGAUGACAUCAGCCCUAGGAUAUAUUGCGCAAUAAAUAAUUAAGGUAUUUUCUCUUUAUAGUAAGAACACAGUGAAUCUUCUAAAAUUCAUAUCUAAUUCAUCCGAGCUCCGUUUAAGCCCAUUCAAGUCUUAGUAAAUCAAGACAAAUGUGUAGAAUCCAUUAAAAAUGGUUUUGUUCUCUGUUUCAGUAGUCUUAUAGCCUGUUUGUAUUGUUUGCUUUGUAUGACGCUUAGAUUUCGGCUCUCCCGACACUCCGGUGUACUUUGAGAUAGUCGCCGAGAUUCCUCCAGCAGCAGAGCAAGGCAAGUCAUGCUUGUCACUUGAACAUGUUGAUCCUAUAUUGCAAAUGGUCUAUUGUUUUCAUUCAAGUACUGCAUUGUUUUGCAAUAAUAUUAUGGGAUGUUCACCUACUGUUACGGCCAUGCUAUUCUUAUACCAUGCUCCUUUGAUAGCUUGGGUUAUAAACAUGACUAGAGAUUGGACUAGGGAUUGCUUAGCCAUGCUUAGUUCAACUAGCACACAAUGGGGGAAAUCAUAUUAAUGUAUAGACUAUAGGUUCUAAUGGUAAUGUUGGAUUAGUGCCGCUUCGGUGUUGGUUAAUUAAAAUAAAUCACAUGGUGGGCUGUGAGUGCAUGGUUUUGUUGGUCACGCCCAUGGCAUUUAAGGACCGGUUCGCGGGAUGCCCUGGAAGAACUUAUCAUACUUACCACAAGCCAGCGUGGGCAACGGCUGGGCUUGUAGUGUAGCUUUCCUCUAGUUGACGCAUCCAGGCAAGCGUGGGUGUGAUGGAGCGGGACGGGCCCUGCGACGGUCUCUGUCGCUUCCGGAUUCACCUAGGCACGAGAGGGGACUGCCCGUUGCCCGCUGGGGACGGGGGUGAAACCUGAGGUGUGGUGUGCUUGGCUAGAGGGGGUUAUGCGAAGGGUCCUGUCAUGGCCUCUUUCCUGUAUGUCGUGGUGGCAUGUCGGCGCAUGAAAACGUGUCGUGGGGCUGUGUCUUGUGGGUACAGUUGUACACCUCUGAUCAGAGUAAAACUAUUCGACUAGCCGUGCCCGCAGUUAUGGGCGGUCAACCAGAUUCACCAUGAUUAGUCUCACCCUAGUGUAGUCUGAUGGAACUGAUUAGUUCAGGUGGUUGGUUGGGCCUGUUGCAACGUGGUGUAGCGUUGAACAGUGGAUGGUUAAUAUUGAUUAAAUAGUACAAUGGUUUUACCGCUUUCAACUUCUGUUUAUAAAUGCUCGCUUUAUGCAAAAGAACCUCUCUAGCUAUCCUUCGGUAAUAUCCUGCAUCAUACCUCCGUUCCGGCAUGACUUGCUGAGUACAGUGGGUAGUACUCAGUCUUGUUCUAUUUUUCCCCAACCCCAGAGUUUGAGUACGCGUCAGAUGGUGGUUUCUCCGAGGAGUAGGCUUCGUCUGUGCCAUCGAUGAUGCCUGUGGAGGGGUGUUCCCGCUACCGUUCAAGUCAAGGCUUAGCUCCAGUUAUCUUUUGUUUUUCCGCUGCAUUUAUGUAAGACUUUUAUAAUGUUUGUAAGACGUGGAUCUGUAUGUCAACUUUGUCGUUUGUGUACCCCGGCCGGUCCUGGACGGGGAUUUUAAUGCACAUUCUGCUUGGAAUUCUAUUCGGGAAUUUCUGGGCGUGACAAGUUGGUAUCAGAACCGACCUUGACCGUAGGACAAGCCAAAUGGAAAAACCUAGGAGCCCUCUGAAUCCUUUUCAUUGCAUAUGUUCUUUGCAAUUUGAUUUGUUCCGGGAAAAUUGGGAUCUGUUCUUGUGGUUCAAGGGAAAAAUCUUGGUCUCUCGUUUAAGUGAGAUUUGUCGAAUCCAGUCAGUCCAGGGUUUUAGUAAAAUUAUUUGAGAUUUAUUCGAAAGUCAGUCGGGAUUUGAUGGGAGGAAUGCAUUAGGUCCUACUAAGGAAUAUGGGUUGCAAGGUAUUUAUGCUCUUAUUAUUAUUAGUAGUAUGUAUCUAAUUUCUCAUUAUUUUAUCGCUAUGUAAGUCCGUCUUAUUUAUUCGCCCUCAUGCAAAAAUGAUCUAUGCAUAAAAUUCCGCUCUUCUUCGCGUAUUUAAUUUGAGUCUUUUACUGCUUCAUUUAAAUUGGAUUUGAGCAUGCAUUGAUCCUACCCCUUUGUCUUCUCUAGAUGGCCGAUCACCCACCCAACCACCGCGGAGAAGGCAUGGAUGAUUUUGUGGUAGAGUUGUCUCGCAUGACCCUGGUGGUGGGCUACCCCAACGCGCCAGAGUAUUCGACUGUUCCGCCGCUCAGUGGCGAGUUUCCUCAUCGUGUUCGUCUGGAGGUUCAUGGCUAUGUGGGCACCUGCCUCGCUAACAUGGUGGUUGAGCCAUCUGGAGGCACAGCAGAUCACGCCUGUCAAGAGGCAGCAUAUCUGAUGAUGGCCAGACUUCGUGAGCGCCACAACUACAUCUUCUGCAACACGGCGUACCGGUUUCACCCUCGUCGAGCAAGUGGCGACGACGUCAACACCUUCCGUCCGACCGCCGGCGAGAACGACAACACCUUCGGUCACAUGUGUGCCGUGAUGAGGGGAAUGGACAGGAUGCACUCGGAUCUGCGCAAGGCGUCCAAGGCCUUGAAUGACGGGAAGCUCGUGAGGAUCAUAGCUCUAAAGGAUGAGAUAGCACGCCUGAAGAAGGAGAAUGCUCAGUUGAAGGGUCUCCCCAUUCCCGGAGGAGUCCGGAUCCGCAACACGCCCAGCAAGUCGACGACGGCACCCGUGCGCAUUCAGCUUGCGCCCAGGAACCCACCUCCGCCCGUAGUCUCCGCAGCUCCUCCAGUUCUGCCCGCAGCUCCCACAGUUCCUGCAGCGCCCGCAGCUCUAGCUCUAGCCCCAGCUCCUGUUCCCGUGUCAGCUCCCGCGUCUGCUCUCCUUCGCUCCAGCGUCAGCCGCUAGGGGUCCAGCCAGUGGCAACGAAGGUUGGUUGCCCGCUACUCCUAGUGGCAGCCGCGACCGCAGCAGCAGCAGUUCCAGUGGUUCAGAGCCGGGCAGCGGGGAGACGUAUCUGCCAGACUCCAGGAGCCGCUCAGAGGGACCUAGCGACGAGCAGGAGGACGCCUUCGACUCCACCGACCGCAGGAGCCGUUCCGAGCAUUAGGCUCGUUUUCCCUUUGUUUAUCGACUGCUUAGUAAUUGCCUGUUAGUUUGUGUGUCUAGGUUUGUUCGCUUGUGGGUCAGUCGACGGUCGAUAUCAUGUGCCUAUGAUAUGGCUGUCUUAAUAAGGAUUUGCUUGCCAUUUUAAGUGUUUUAAUUUAGAUCAGAACAAUUGCAGUUUAAAUUCCUAUAUAAUAAAGCUUAGUUCCUGAGCAUAUGUUUUUCUUCUUUUCUUCCCCCCCUCCGUCUGCUCUCCCUUCAGAUGGUCAACACCAGGAAUGGCAGCCAUGCAGCAGGUGAGGGCAGCAGCGGUGAAGAACGCACCAAUGGUGGACACCCUAACAGCGCCUUUGGCAACGGUCCGCCACCGCUCCCAGAAAACCCAACGCUCGCACAAGUGAUGGCCCAUCAGACUCAGAUGAUUGCGGCCAUGAUGCAACAGAUGCAGCAGCAGCACCAUCAGAUGCACCAGAGGAUUCAGCAGCAAGCCGAGCAGCAGCAGCAGCAGUUUGGUCCCCCUCCCCCUCAAUCCAAACUGCCAGAGUUUCUAUGCGUCAAGCCACCCACCUUCUCUAGCACCACCAACCCCAUGGAGGCGAAUGACUGGCUCCAUGCCAUAGAGAAGAAGCUAAAUUUCCUGCAGUGCAAUGAUCAAGAGAAGGUCGCCUUUGCCACACACCAGCUCCAGGGUCCCGCGUCAACUUGGUGGGACAAUCACAUGGCUACCCGCCCGCCAGGCACAGAAGUCACUUGGGCGGAGUUCUGUCGCAGCUUCAGAAAGGCGCAGGUGCCAGACGGAGUGGUGGCACAGAAGAAGAGGGAAUUCCGGGCACUCCAUCAGGGCAACAUAACAGUGACUGAGUAUCUCCAUGAGUUCAAUCAUCUAGCGCGAUAUGCACCGGAGAAUGUCCGCACUGACGCAGAGAAGCAGGAGAAGUUCCUAGCAGGCCAACCAGUUGAUCUCUGGAGACUACGCCGACUUUGAGAAGCUGGUUGACAAGGCAAUCCGUCAGGAAGAUCAGCGCAACAAAAUGGACAGGAAGAGAAAGGUAGCGCAGUUCCGAUCCAACCAAGGAAGCCACCAGCGACCGCGCUUCACUCCCGGACAGCAGGGUGGACCUACCACCAUGAUCGUCCGCCAGCAUCGCCCUUUCAACUCGAGAAGCUUCCACCAGGGCGCUAGUGGCAGCCAGAACCACCAGGGAGGUCAGCCCAACCACAGUGCAGCUCCGUGCCCGCCAAUGGCACCAGCACAGUCAGCUCCAUCAGCCCAAGCCAAGAAGGAGACUGGAACAAAGCCAGGGUCCUUGUUCAACUGUGGCGAGCAUGGCCACUUUGCUGACAAAUGCCCGAAGCCAAGGCGUGCCGGGCCAAGGUUUGUCCAGGCUCGUGUCAACCACGCGUCCGUCGAAGAGGCGCAAGUAGCACCAGAGGUCGUACUGGGUACGUUUCCUAUUAACUCAAUCCCUGCAACAGUACUUUUCGAUUCUGGUGCAACGCAUUCGUUCAUUUCAAAGAAGUUUGUUGGGAUACAUGGGUUAAUAAGAGAAGAACUUAGUACACCAAUGUGGGUUCAUACCCUAGGGAAUAGCUCCACUUCGGUUCAAUUCAGCCCUUCUAUAACAAUAGAAAUCCAAAGAUCACCAUUUCUAGCCAACCUCAUUCUUCUCGAAUCCAAAGACCCUAGAUGUCAUUCUUGGGAUGGAUUGGCUGACCAAGUUCAAGGGAGUUAUUGAUUGUGCGAAUCGCACAGUCACCUUGACCAAUGAGAAGGGAGAAACAAUAGUGUACAAAUCAUCAGUCUCACCAAAGCAAGGGGUCUCCUUGAAUCAGAUUGAGGUGGAAAUUCCAGUGGUCACCGAGGGGAAGAGUUCGACGAAAUUGGAAGAUAUCCCCAUAGUCUGCGAGUAUCCAGAAGGGUUUCCCGAGGACCUCACUACCAUGCCACCCAAGAGAGAGAUUGAAUUCCGGAUUGAUUUGGCACCGGGAACUGCUCCAAUUUACAAGAGACCGUAUAGAAUGGCAGCCAACGAGCUAGCAGAGGUCAAGAAGCAGGUUGAUGGGCAGCUGCAGAAAGGGUACAUUCGACCGAGUACUUCACCUUGGGGUGCUCCGGUUAUUUUUGUGGAGAAGGACAAGACGAAGAGAAUAUGUGUCGAUUAUCGCGCACUCAAUGAGGUCACCAUCAAGAACAAAUACCCGUUGCCGCGGAUUGAUGAUCUGUUCGAUCAGCUGAAAGGAGCCAAGGUGUUUUCCAAAAUAGACCUGCGAUCAGGCUACCACCAUUUGAGGAUUCGGGAAGAGGAUAUUCCCAAGACAGACUUCACUACUCGGUAUGGGUUGUAUGAGUGCACGGUUAUGUCUUUUGGACUUACCAACGCACCUGCAUUCUUCAUGAACCUGAUGAACAAAGUGUUCAUGGAAUUUCUGGAUAAGUUUGUUGUGGUAUUCAUCGACGACAUACUUAUCUAUUCAAAGUCUGAAGAAGAGCAUGAGCAACAUCUCCGUCUAGUACUCGAGAAGUUGAAGGGGCACCAGUUAUAUGCCUAGUUCAGCAAGUGUGACUUCUGGUUAUCGGAAGUCAAAUUUCUGGGUCACGUCAUUACAGCUCAGGGCGUGGCAGUUGAUCCAUCGAAUGUGGAGUCAGUUACCAAAUGGACUCCACCUAAGACCGUGUCACAGAUUCGGAGUUUUCUUGGACUUGCGGGUUAUUACCGUCGGUUCAUUGAAAAUUUCUCCAGGAUCGCCUGACCCAUGACUCAUUUGCUUAAGAAAGAUGAGAAAUUUAAAUGGACGGCCGAGUGUGACAAGAGUUUUGAGGAGCUCAAGAAGAAAUUAGUGUCUGCUCCAGUUCUGAUUCUGCCCGACCAGACAAAAGACUUCCAAGUCUACUGUGACGCGUCCCGCCAUGGGCUUGGAUGUGUUCUAAUGCAAGAGGGCAGAGUGGUCGCUUAUGCCUCGCGGCAGUUGCGUCCACAUGAAGGGAACAAUCCAACUCAUGACCUGGAAUUGGCAGCGGUGGUUCAUGCUUGGAAGAUCUGGAGGCACUAUCUGAUUAGCAACCGCUGCGAAGUAUAUACGGACCACAAGAGUCUGAAAUAUAUCUUCACCCAACCGGAUCUAAAUCUCCGACAACGAAGAUGGUUGGAGCUAAUCAAAGAUUAUGACAUGAGAAUUCACUAUCAUCCGGGUAAAGCCAAUGUGGUGGCAGAUGCAUUAAGCAGGAAGAGCUACGACAAUGCCCUAUGCACCGAGGGCAUGUGUAAAGAAUUGUAGCAGGAGCUUGAACGUCUCAACGUGGGAAUCGUAGAACACGGGUUCGUAGCCACUCUAGAGGCACGGCCUACGCUCGUGGAUCAAGUCAGAGCAGCUCAAGUGAAUGAUCCUGAGAUAGCUGAACUGAAAAAGAAUAUGAGGGUCGGAAAAGCCCGGGACUUUCUUGAGGAUGAACAUGGCACAAUCUGGUUGGGAGAAAGAUUGUGCGUGCCUGAUGACAAAGGGCUGAAAGAUCUGAUACUCACCGAGGCUCAUCAGACUCAAUACUCUAUUCAUCUGGGUAGUACCAAGAUGUAUCAAGAUCUCAAAGAAAAAUUUUGGUGGGCUAGCAUGAGGAGGGAAAUAGCUGAAUUCAUCGCGCUCUACGAUGUUUGUCAGCGAGUUAAAGCAGAACAUCAGAGGCCCGCAGGAUUGUUACAACCUCUUCAGAUCCCGGAAUGGAAAUGGGAAGAAAUUGGAAUGGAUUUCAUAACAGGUCUGCCCAGGACAUCAUCUGGCCACGAUUUAAUCUGGGUAGUUGUGGAUCGACUUACCAAAGUUGCUCAUUUCAUUCCAGUGCAUACUACUUAUACGGACAAAAGGUUGGCAGAGCUCUAUCUCCCGAGAAUCAUGUGUCUACAUGGAGUACCCAAAAAGAUAGUAUCUGAUCGAGGGAGCUAAUUCACUUCAAAGUUCUGGCAGAAAUUGCAAGAGGAAUUGGGAACCCGGCUGAAUUUCAGUACAGCCUACCAUCCGCAGACCGAUGGUCAGACUGAGCGGGUCAAUCAAAUAUUGGAGGACAUGUUAAGGGCUUGUGCACUUGAUUUUGGUGGAGCUUGGGACAAAAGCUUGCCGUAUGUGGAGUUCUCUUACAACAACAGCUAUCAGGCCAGUCUACAAAUGGCACCGUUCGAAGCGUUGUACGGCCGGAAGUGCCGCACACCUCUCUUCUGGGAUCAAACAGGCGAACGUCAACUGUUCGGAACAGAAGUGUUAACGGAAGCAGAAGAGAAAGUCAGAACCGUCAAAGAGAGGCUGAGAAUUGCCCAGUCUCGACAGAAGAGCUACGCAGACAACCGCCGUAGGGAGUUCACUUUUGAAGCAGGGGAUUACGUGUACCUUCGUGUUACUCCACUCCGGGGAGUACACCGUUUUCAAACGAAAGGCAAGUUGGCACCACGCUUCGUGGGACCAUACAAAAUCUUGGAACGAAGAGGAGAAGUUGCUUAUCAGCUAGAACUUCCAUCCAAUAUGAUCAGUAUCCAUGACGUGUUCCACGUGUCCCAGUUAAAGAAGUGUCUGAGGGUACCCGAAGAACAAGCCGAUUCGGAGCACAUUGAUAUCCAAGAAGAUCUGACGUAUGUGGAGAAGCUAGUUCGUAUUCUUGAGACCAGUGAAAGAAGAACCAGAAACAAGGUCACCAGGUUUUGCCGGGUUCAGUGGAGCCACCAUUCAGAGGAAGAAGCAACCUGGGAAAGGGAAGAUGAGUUGAAGGCCGCCCAUUCGCACCUCUUCGCCAGCUCUUCCGAAUCUCGGGGUCGAGAUUCCGUUUAAGGGGGGUAGGUUUGUCACACCCUGAAGUUCUUCCCCCAAGCCUAAAUUGAAUUUAUAAAUCACCUUGAGAAAAUACCGGAGUCAAAGCAAGAGAAACCCUAAUAAAGUAAUGCAAAUAAUAAUCGGAAUUGGCAUGUGGGAUUUUGUUUGAGUUCUACAUGUCGAAAUAUGCUAACAAGAUUUUUAGUGGAAUUUUCAGAGCUCUAGAAAUAAUUUUAACCAAUUAAAAUUCAGCACCAGCAUUACUUAAUCCCUGGAAAUUCUUUUCCUUUUUCCUUUUUCCUUUUUCCCCUCCAUUUCCCCAAAUGGGCUGCCGGCCCAUUUCCUCCCCCUCCCGCGCCCCUUCCCUUAACGGGCCGGCCCAUUUUCCCUUCUCCUCCCGAAGUCCAGGCUGCCUCCCCCUCUAUCCCUCGGGCACUGAUAGGUGGGGCCCACCUGUCAGCCCCUUCCCCAACCUCCAGCCGCUCUCCGAGCCGGCGACCGACGCACCGCGCGCGCGCCGCCCACCUUCUCCGCCUUCCCCGCGCCCCACUCCCGCACGCCCCGUCUUCUCCGUGCAAACGCCCCCACUCCCGCUCGCGCCCACUUCACGAGAUGGCCGGGAUUCAAAUUCGAAUCCCGCCUCUCUCUCUCUCUCUCCCUACCUCCAACUUCCCCCACUAACUCCGGCGAAAUCGAGCCACUCCCGGCCGUUCCCGACCUCUCCGCCCCUAUAUAAUUCAUCCCCACAUCCUCCUCCUCAUUUUCCCUUUUUCCGCCGGCCUCUCCCGAGCUCUCCACCGCUCCCGCACCGUGCCCCCAUCCGCCGCUGUCUCUUCCAUUGCUCCGGCCGCCUCUAGCCGCCGCUAGGGUCACCGCUGCACCGCGCCGUCGCCGCCGUCGGGUUCACGUGGCCGAGAUCCACCUCGUCCACCCCGCCUCCGUCGAAUUCCGCCAUCGGAGGCCGCCGUCCGCCGUGCGCCGGUGAGCCUUUCCAUAGCCGCUCGCAGUUGACUCCCUCUCCCCCUCUAACAUCUCUCUUUUUCUCUCUUAGGGUGUCUCGGAGCCCGUCCACCGUUCUCCGUCGUUCCCCAGCCGUCGUCGUCGCCGUUCGCCGUCGUCUUCCUCCGCGCCGGCCAACUCACGGUGAGGCGCCCCUCCUCCUCUUUUCCCCUCCCUUUCCCUCCUAGCGCCGAGCCGGGCCGAGCCGCCGCUUCGGCCGUGCGCCACCGCCUUCGCGCCGCCGCCCUUGCCAUGGCAGGCCGGCCGGCUUGAUGCCGAGCCCGGCCGGCACCUCGCCACUCCCCUUGGGCCGGUGCCGAGUGGGGCCCGCCUGUCAGUGCCCCCUCCUUUCCCCCUUGUGUCACCGACUAAUGGGGCCCGCAUGUCGGCGCCGCCCCCUCCUUGAUGACGUCAGCCCUAGGAUAUAUUGCGCAAUAAAUAAUUAAGGUUUUUUCUCUUUAUAGUAAAAACACAGUGUAUCUUCUAAAAUUCAUAUCUAAUUCAUCCGAGCUCCGUUUAAGCCCAUUCAAGUCUCAGUAAAUCAAGACAAAUAUGUAGAAUUCAUUAAAAAUGGUUUUGUUUUCUGUUUCAAUAGUCUUAUAGCCUGUUUGUAUUGUUUGCUUUGUAUGACGCAUAGAUUCCGGCUCUCCCGAUGCUCCAGUGUACUUUGAGAUAGUCGCCGAGGUUCCUCCAGUAGCAGAGCAAGGCAAGUCAUACUUGUCACUUGAACAUGUUGAUCCUAUAUUGCAAAUGGUCUAUUGUUUUCCUUCAAGUACUGCAUUGUUUUGCAAUAAUAUUAUGGGAAGUUCACCUACUGUUACGGCCAUGCUAUUCUUGUACCAUGCUCCUUUGAUAGCUUGGGUUAUAAACAUGACUAGAGAUUGGACUAGGGAUUGCUUAGCCAUGCUUAGUUCAACUAGCACACAAUGGGGGGAAAUCAUAUUAAUGUAUAGACUAUAGGUUCUAAUGGUAAUGUUGGAUUAGUGCCACCGCUUCGGUGUUGGUUAAUUAAAAUAAAUCACAUGGUGGGCUGUGGGUGCAUGGUUUUGUUGGUCGCGCCCAUGGCAUUUAAGGACUGGUUCGCGGGAUGCCCUGGAAGAACUUAUCGUACUUACCACAAGCCAGCGUGGGCAACGGCUGGGCUUAUAGUGUAGCUUUCCUCUAGUUGACGCAUCCAGGCAAGGGUGGGCGUGAUGGAGCGGGGCGGGCCCUGCGACGACCUCUGUCGCUUCCGGAUUCACCUAGGCACGAGAGGGGACUGCGCGUUGCCCGCUGGGGACGAGGGUGAAACCUGAGGUAUGGUGUGUUUAGCUAGAGGGGGUUAUGUGAAGGGUCCUGUCACGGCCUCUUUCCGGUUUGUCGUGGUGGCAUGUCGGCGCACGGAAACGUGUCGUGGGGCUGUGUCUUGUGGGUACAAUUGUACACCUCUGAUUAGAGUAAAACUAUUCGAAUAGCCAUGCCCGCGGUUAUGGGCGGUCAACCAGAUUCACUGUGAUUAGUCUCACCCUAGUGUAGUCUGAUGGAACUGAUUAGUUCAGGUGGUUGGUUGGGCCUGUUGCAACGUGGUGUAGCGUUGAACAGUGGAUGGUUAAUAUUGAUUAAUUAGUACUAUGGUUUUACCGCUUUCAACUACUGUUUAUAAAUGCUCGCUUUAUGCAAAAGAACCUCUCUAGCUAUCCUUUGGUAAUAUCCUGCAUCAUACCUCCGUUCCGGUAUGACUUGCUGAGUACAGUGGGUAGUACUCAGUCUUGCUCUAUUUUUCCCCAACCCCAGAGUUUGAGUACGCGUCAGAUGGUGGUUUCUCCGAGGAGAAGGCUUCGUUCGUGCCGUCGAGGAUGCCUGUGGAGGGGCGUUCCCGCUGCCGUUCAAGUCAAGGCUUAGCUCCAGUUAUCUUUUGUUUUUCCGCUGCAUUUAUGUAAGACUUGUAUAAUGUUUGUAAGACGUGGAUCUGUAUGUCAACUUUGUCGUUUGUGUACCCCGGCCGGUCCUGGACGGGGAUUUUAAUGCACAUUCUGCUUGGAAUUCUAUUCGGGAAUUUCUGGGCGUGACAUAGGUUACACGUACGGAGUUGUUCCCUGAUUCACGUCUCCGAACAGGACUUGAUCGAGUAGAGCAGUAGUCUGGUCGGUAGAUGUAUUGCUAGUGGGUCCAACUACACCAGCCAACCGGUUGGCAAUCGGAGUCGACCGAAGAUGUAAAGGGAAAAUAAAAAAUACAUGUUAAUCAGUAACUAUCAACAUGCAGAUUUAGAUAACUAGGAAUAAGUCAGUUAACUAAUCGAGGAAUCAGAACGACCAACCCGGUAGGACGUUGUAGAUUGAAUUGUUGGUGAUGAUGAUUCCGAUCUCAUCGGGGCUCGUAGUCUGGUCGGGUCAGACUUCCCAGAUCCAAGGUAGUUGAAGUAUCCCUCGUCAAGAAAUCCAUAGUGACGAUGGCUUGGUGAAGCUUGACGAAGAUCCCGAUCUGCCGGAGAACGCACUUCGCUCGGGUCGUAUCACCCAAUAUACGAAGUUGUUGAGUAGUUUGUUGUUGAAGAAUCCAUCUCUUGAACCCAUCUCGUCAAAAUCAUGAAGCACCAAAAUCCCCCUACCUGGCGCACCACUAUCGACGUUUGAUGUCACGACUACGGUAUUUGCAUAAUAUGGGGAUCAUUGGUACUAGGAUAUAUGUGAGAUUAAGGUAAAAGAGAUGGGGACGAGGAUUUUUAUACAGGUUCGGGCCCCUGAAUUGUCAGGUAAUAACCCUACUCCUGUUGGCUGAAGCUGGUCGUUGCUCUUAUUCAUCAUAAUCACACCAGUACAAUAUUUGGGGUAGCCUAUCUAUCUGUCGUCGAUUUGGCGGCUAUAAAACCAUCCCGUAGUCGACAACAGAGUAGUCUUCCUAAUCGAAUUCGUGUCCAGCGAGAUCAGAGACAGCGCUAUGUCUCUCCUUCUUAUCUCUGAAGUCGAUAUCCGGCGUCUUGUCUUGGCGUAUGUUGACUUGUAUGUUGAUCUUGUGUCUUGAUCUAUUGUUCCGUGUCCCCUCUCCUCCUAGGGGGCCUUGUAUUUAUACCCAUAGGUGUCCCAUUGUCCAAGUAGAACUAGGGAAACCAAUAUGGAUACAAUCCGAGUAGUCCUUGUCGUUUCCAUGUAGAAACUCUAUUCAUCCUUCCUUAUGCAGAGCUCCUCCUAUAUCCGAAGGUUGUUUCCGUAUAAGACAUGGUAUGUAGUGGGUCCUGCCGAGAUUUAGUCAACUACUAUUAGGUAUGUGGUAUCCAUAACCCUAACAGUAACCAUUCCAACAAUAAUGUAGGAUCAAACAAGAUCAAACAAACCUACCAGAUGGGAGGUGAAUGUAUGGAAAACCAAAAAGCCAAAAUCUUUUGUGGAAUAAAAGAUUUACCUCGAACGGAGUAGAUGACAAAACUCUGUCACCGCCGGUCAAACCGCCUACUCGCCGCCGGCCAGACCGCCCAGAUACCUGCAAUUAGACCGCCGCUAUCCCACCAGUCAGACGCGUGCACACCUGCGGUUAGACCAUCGGGACCCAGAAAACACUGGUAGAUGACAAACUCGAAUACGUAGAUUGAAACUCUCGAUUUUAUUGAACUAGUGUUUACAAAGUGCACCAACAGCACUCACCAAAAUCUCGAACUAAACUCGACACCCUAACUUUCUCUAACUCAAGUCUCUCUAAAACAGAUACCGGGAGGCCACACCCUCCCUCUCUAUUUAUACAUGACGUAGGCUGUGCAAAGCCCACGAAUUGAACUCAACUUAGGACUCCCAACCACGUGGGAAACCCACUCUUGCAAGUAUACAACUUAUCCCUUUCCUUAUCUCUAUCAAUCUUCCCGAAUUCGGACUCCCUUCCAAAUUUGACUCCUCUUUCCAUACGUACACAAUCCCUCUUGUAUAUUGUCGGUGAUAUGGGCCCGGGGGUACCUGGGCUGAGGGAAAGGAAUCCCUUCCCUCCGCUACGCACCCGGGUGGCCCAGAACCCCCCCCCCCCUCCUUCUCGGGGGAUUGGACACUCGGCCGAUGAGCGGCCGAAAAGGGGCCACGUGCCCCAGAGGGUUCAGGGUACCUCAUCGUGCCCCUCGGGCCCGAGGGGCUGGGUCGCCCCGAGGCCCUCGUUCGACCGCCGCGUGGUAGCCACGUGGCAGUUUGAGCGGGCAGGGACGCUGUCCACCAAGCACAAUUAUGGGCGGCGCCCCAACUGCCCCUGUCGCAUUUAAAGCGACGUGGCGGGUCGCGUGCCACCCGCUAAUAGACGUGCGCCAGGCGGCCUUGACCGGUCUGCGACCCGGUGAUGGAUGGAUGGGACAGGUGGCAGCGCACCCACGCCCCACUUUGUGUCAGGCUGCGUGGGGGCUGGUGUGCCCCGUCCCAUCAACUGCAGAGGAUAGACGUGCGGGUUGGUGCACCCCACGCACGUGAACCCGCAAAGUCGUCAGGUAUUUAUGAGGGAAUGACUGGGGAUGUCCCCCGUGUCAGAAGGAGGACCCUGGUGGGGACCACCAAAGGGCGACCACGUGCAUCGUUUCUGGCACAAGGCAUGGACUACUUUUCGGUCCAAGCGGGUGUGGGCCCCUCUCCGGGGAAGGGAGCGUAGAGACGGUGCAUGUGGUAUCCCCUUGAACUAUAAAAGGAGGACAUUGCCCUACGAGCAAGGGGACGACUCUUGGGAGAUCGAAUUCUAGGAAGAGGUUAGCCAAGCCCUAGUUCAUUGGCCUAGGAUCCGAGUUCCCUGUAAUCAGUUCGAAGAUCAACGCACACACAGGAGUAGGAUAUUACGCUCCAUAGCGGCCCGAACCUAGAUAAUUUCUCUCUCUCUCUCUCUCCAUCCUCCACCUCGCAAUCUUAACCAUCGCGGGUCCACUCGCUUGGGCGAGAUCACGCUCCUAAGCAUCGUUCUCGAUCCCCUGGCCGAACUCACGAAGGGGGGUCUCACAACCUCCCGCUAGAGAGGAUUCCUCCUCGACAUAUAUCAUAUGGAUUCUUCAUUACCAGGUGCAUUGCUCUCUAGCCUUUUAGUAUCCCGCAUGAUCUCUUGAUCCUUGGACAUCAACUUCUUCCAAGUCGACUCUGAUCUAUCAUCAGCAACACUCUCCUGAGGCCUCAAGCAACAUGUGCACAUGCAACAACUAAGAAAUCAUAUCCCGAGCACAAGUUCGUCCGAACUUGAACCAUAUUAGUAUACCAGCAGUAUCCAUACGAAUAGAAACCAUAUAGAAAUAAAAUCCCCGAAGGAAACAUCCAAAUCCAACAAGACAAUCCGAAGCGACAUCAAUCAGGUUCAUGUCGAUCAGACCGUUGGGUUGGCCGGUCUACGAUCUGACCAGCGGCACCUAGCCGGUUUGACCAAUAGGGGUCAACCGAACACAAUUAUUUCACAAAAUCAACCAUUUAUAAAUCUCCAAAAUAUCAUGAGCAAACCACCAAUAUUUUCAUCAUAAAGGCUAAAAAAACUCCUUGAUUUUACAAAUAGCGUUACUACCUGAUAAUAAGCAAUACAAAACAUUAAACUUUCUUCUCUUUCACCCUCUCUCUUUUAUACCCCAAGCAUUGCUCUACAUAUGGGCUCUAACUUACUAUCUUCACAUUGUGAGAGCUAGAAGCAACUAUUACAUGGUUUUGUAGGUUCACCUUACUAUCCACUUAGGAAAUAUAGAUUGAGGAUGCCAUUAGAAAUCACGAGAAAAUAUGUGGUGUAAAUCACAUGUGUAGUGGAAACUUAGAAACUACCAUUGAAUAAAAAAUGAACAUUUUGAUAUUUGUCCACGUCACUAUGAGUAAAAGUUUUUGCUGAAAGUAAAAUUUUUACUCAUGAGUAAAUCUGUGAGUAAUUUUUUUACUUGUGAUGAUGUGGGCGAAUUUCGAACGUCAAUUUUUCAAUCCAAUGGCAGUUUCCAAGUUUCCAUUACAUAUAUAUAUAUAUAUAUAUAUAUAUAUAUAUAUAUAUAUAUAUAUAUAUGGGAACAUAUCCUAUACAUCCAAGCUUCUCGUACACACCAAUUAGAAAAUGUUACAAAAUUUUUUACAAAAAAUUAGACAUUUACUCCUAAUAAUGUUACACAUAUCUGUAAAGUCUGAUAUUCAAAUUCAUUAUAUUUUAGCCGUAACAAAAAAGUGGAAAAUCAUAUAGUUUUAAGUGUAAAAAUCUGUCAGAACUUUGUCUUUUUUGUUACGGCUAAAAUAUAAUAAAUUUGAAGAUAAGAUUUCACACGUGGGUGUAAUACUAUGGAAGUAUGUGUCCCAUUUUUUCUAGAAUUUUCUGUGAUAUUUUCUUAAUGGUGUGCAUGGAGUGUACACGGGAAGUUUGUGUGCAUACGAUAUGCUCCCCAUAUAUAUGUGUGUAUGUGUGGGGGUGGGGGAGGGGUUGGGUGUUUCACCCUAAGUCACAGGGAACAUGGAACGUGGGUGAGUUCCUCGUUCCGGAAAUUUCGUCACGGAACGAGUAACGGGAACGAAGCGGAACUUCAUUCCAAAAACGGAGGGAUCGUCGACCCCAAAACAUGGUACAGCAGUGGAGGAACGAGAAGGGCGGUACAGGCAAUGGAGAAACAAGAAGGGUUCGCUGCUCACCGCUGUUAUGCCGAGGAACAAAAAGUCAUAAACCAGCGCACGCCGCCGCUGUCGAACAGAAGAGGAGGGAGAAAUAGAGGGGCGCCGGCGAGCGGCGCACCGCAGCCGCGUUGCUCCCUCCAUUGCGCUGCUCCUGCACUAACGAGGAAGUCAUCACGCUGCGCCACCGGCGUUGCAUCGACCUAGUGGACUGGACUACUG